RNAcentral lists this ribosomal RNA (563 nucleotides) under uncultured bacterium. Its description in RNAcentral is "bacterial SSU rRNA". It matches the Rfam family "Archaeal small subunit ribosomal RNA", at positions 722 to 1286 of the family's 1478-position model. The record is from RNAcentral.
ACCCAAUAGAUACCCAGGUAGUCCAGGGUGUAAACGCUGCGGGCUUGGUGUUGGGGGGUCCUUAGUGGGCGCCCAGUGCCGGAGAGAAAGUUGUUAAGCCUGCUGCUUGGGGAGUAUGUCCGCAAGGAUGAAACUUAAAGGAAUUGGCGGGGGAGCACCGCAACGGGAGGAGCGUGCGGUUCAAUUGGAUUCAACGCCGAAAAACUCACCAGGAGCGACGGAUAUAUGAAGGUCAAGCUGAUGACUUUACCUGAUUUUCCGAGAGGUGGUGCAUGGCCGUCGUCAGUUCGUACCGUAAAGGCGUUCUCUUAAGUGAGAUAACGAACGAGACCCUCACCAUUAAUUGCUAGUCUCUUCUCCGGAGGAGGCGCACAUUAAUGGGACCGCUGGCGCUAAGUCAGAGGAAGGAGAGGUCAACGGUAGGUCCGUAUGCCCCGGAAUCCCCUGGGCAACACGCGCGCUACAAAGGGUGGGACAAUGGGCUUCGACACCGAAAGGUGAAGACAAUCCUGAAACCCAUCCAUAGUUCGGAUCGGGGGCUGUAACCGCCCCGUGAAGCUGGA